CAGUAGCCGCGGGAAUACCGAGGGUGCAAGCGUUAAUCGGAUUUACUGGGCGUAAAGGGCGCGUAGGUGGUUAUGUAAGUGAGAUGUGAAAGCCCCCGGCUCAACCGGGGAGGGUCAUUGGAAACUGGGAAGCUUGAGUGCAGAAGAGGAGAGUGGAAUUCCACGUGUAGCGGUGAAAUGCGUAGAGAUGUGGAGGAACACCAGUGGCGAAGGCGACUCUCUGGUCUGUAACUGACGCUGAGGACCGAAAGCGUGGGGAGCGAACAGGAUUAGAUACCCCAGUAGUCCCUGUCUCUUAUAC
Molecule: ribosomal RNA, 301 nt
Filed under: uncultured bacterium
Lineage: Bacteria
Description: partial 16S ribosomal RNA
Rfam family: Bacterial small subunit ribosomal RNA
Source: RNAcentral